UUCUAUUCACACAAUCAUCCAAUUUACAAAACAAAACUUAGCCCAUAUAAAACUAUACUUACGAGACCUAUCCAUAUAUUAAUCCCAUGUAAACUACAAAACUCUUUUCUUCGUCUUCAUUUGAUACAUUCAAGCGACGGCUAAAAUGGCAGGUCAUUGCAAUUAAAAUAGAAGAUGGAGCCACCUCCUUUGAAACCCUAAAACUCCGGCCAACCACCACCCAACCCAUCGAACCACCAUACCAUUAGAAAGCCCUCAUCACACUCUACAAUUCUCACCCACCAUCUUUAUUCAAAAUCACUAGAAUUCGCCCAAAUAUUGAGCUAAAAUGAGCUACCCACGUGCAUCAAAACUGCUGAAAUCACCUCCUCCAGCAACACCAAUGUAAUGCCCAUCAUCCCAGAUGAUUAUUCACACCAGGGCGAUCCUUUCCAUGGUCUACAACUGCCCCUAAUUCACAGAAUAGAAAUCAAUAGGCUGCCCAUUCGAAGACAGUGUAGACGCAGCUUUCAGGGCAUUUUUUCAGCAUUGGUAGUGAGACCCAUGAUCGCAGACCACCACUAUAGGCCAAAACUCAUCAUGGCACAUCUACUGGGCAUAUGGGUCUUCCUCAAUUUAGUGUUGAAAUGGUAGAUUGUUCAGAAACGGCACACGGGUAUAUUAACCGGUUUGAUCUCCUUUCAAUUGGCAACCCUCCUCAACUCCAAUAUACAAAUUGCAUCAACCAUCAUGUAAGCACUUUUGUGAAUUCUGUAGAAAAUAAUUGUGAAAGAAGUAAGAAAGAAGUUAAGAUUAAUUUUAUAUGAGAACAUUACUGGGCUGCAUCAUGUUGACAAAUAAGUAAAGAGGGAAAGUUGAAGGAAUUGUAAUUGGAAAUAGGAAUUGUGAAGGGUGGUUGCCCUGAGCAAAUAGGGUGCUAGGGAGAAAAAAUAUGAGAAAAAAGUUACAAUUUGAUUAAUAGGUUAAGGAUCAUGAUGCAAUCUCUCCUAAAUGGUAUUCAGUCAAUUUUGUCUCAUUUGAUAUUGUUUAGAAACAGACCCAAAUAUCUCUUAUGGAAAAUGGGUCUAUUUCUUGAUAAUGGAAGAAUAAUUUUUUUUUCAUUCUUGAAAACAAAAUUUUAUCUUUUUGAAAUUGAAUAAGAUUUUGAUGUAGAAUUUUAAUCCAUAAAAAAAUAGAUUUAUAUGCACAUUUAGAUUUUUAUAAUUUUAACCUUAAUUUAGGAAAUUAUAUAUAAUUAUUUAUAUUUAUGUAAUUUGUGAAUCGAAUUUGCAAGUGGACCACUUAAUUUGAGCCUCGGUCAGUUUUGUUUCUAGAUUAAGAUAUAUGAUUAUUAGCAUAUUUGGUAGAGAUUUUAAUUCAAUUAAAAUUAAUUUUUGACCGCUAUUUCACUAUUUCAACCUUCAUUUUUUAAUUCUUCUCUUACAGGCAUAGUUAUCAAACCCGGAUCGGACCGGCCGGUUCAAUCCGGAACCCGUCGAACCGGACCCAGAUCCAGUCCGAUUGUGAGGAAUUUAUGGAUGAAAAAUCAGCCCGUCAACAACCCGCUAGAAUCGCCGGUUUUACAUAGAACCGGGGUACCGACUUUUUAUUGACCCGACCGGUUCUUAAGUAACCGUGUUUCACUUUCCUUUCCUCACAGAUUCCUUCCAGUUUUCUUCCCCACUCCGUCUCCUCACAAUUUCUAACUUCUAAGACAUUAGGGAUUCUUGCAAAAUUAAAAACCUCAGCCGCCGUCUCAAUCUCUUGCAAUUCAACAACUCCCAAGAAUCAAAAUCUCCAAUUUCAAGUUUUAAAAGAUGGAAGAGCAGGUUGGUCUCUGUCAGAUGAACCCUUUUUUUCGUAAUAUGAAUUAUAAAACAAAAAGAUGUGGAAUUUUGUCCUGGGUAUGAUGGCAUAUGAAUUAUAGAACAAAAAAAAAUGUGUAAUUUCGUAUUCAACAAUGUAUUGGAGCCACCCCAGUAGUUUUUUAAUUUUUUAAUUUUAUUAAAUUUAUCGAUUUAGAGGGGGCAUUUAUAAUAUUAUAUGAAAAAAGUUGUUGGCUUCAUCUAGCCAUUGCUGUAGUAUUUGAUUCAGGUGGUGUAUUUAUUCAUUUCUAGCUGGUGUAUAUCCUCACUUGGGUAGACAUUUGAUUCAGACGGCAAGCUUGUGUAUAUCCACAAUUGCUUCUUGAUGUUAUGGUUAAAAAAUACCUAAUGUAUGCUUUACUCGAAUAAAGACCAGACUCUGUUUAGUGUUUAGUUUUUCUUCAUGUUUGGAUUAUUACCCAGUUAACGUCCGAGUAUUUUUGCGUUACUGGUUGCUGAAAAAUGGAUGAUAAUGGUGGUUUUAAUUUAUUUUUUAGAUGACCU
RNAcentral lists this long non-coding RNA (2348 nucleotides) under Olea europaea subsp. europaea. Lineage: Eukaryota; Viridiplantae; Streptophyta; Magnoliopsida; Lamiales; Oleaceae. The record is from RNAcentral.